Vigna radiata var. radiata (mung bean) is the source of this 82-nucleotide non-coding RNA. The record is from Rfam. NCBI's taxonomy places the organism in Eukaryota, Viridiplantae, Streptophyta, Magnoliopsida, Fabales, Fabaceae.
GUCGAUAUGUCCGAGUGGUUAAGGAGGCAGACUUGAAAUCUGCUGGGUUUCGCCCGCGCAGGUUCGAAUCCUGCUGUCGACG